AUUGGUGGUCCAAAUGGUUAUCUAGCCUAGAGGCAAGAGUUUGAGUUUGGUUUGGGAUCUUGCAUGUUUAUGGGUACCCUGUGUAAGCUUAAUCUUGUUUGUGCAGGUCAAGCAAGAUCCACAAUAUGUUGAGGUCCUUGGUCUUCAUCAUUUGGAAGAUGCAUAGUUGAUGUUGUUGUUGAAAUGAUCAAUAGGGGUGCUUAUUUUGAGUUGUUGGUUCAAACCACAAGGACAUGGAGAAUUCCCUUCUCACUCUCUUGUGUCACAUGUCCGCCACUUUGUGCACCCUACGGAGAUAAAGCACUUUUACUAAUGAAGCAGAACAUAACACAAAAAGAUGUUAAG
This 345-nucleotide long non-coding RNA is filed under the name Malus domestica (apple). RNAcentral describes it as "long non-coding RNA (MDOM_LNC014288)". Lineage: Eukaryota; Viridiplantae; Streptophyta; Magnoliopsida; Rosales; Rosaceae. The record is from RNAcentral.